RNAcentral lists this ribosomal RNA (602 nucleotides) under Shewanella putrefaciens. Its description in RNAcentral is "bacterial SSU rRNA". It matches the Rfam family "Bacterial small subunit ribosomal RNA", at positions 71 to 665 of the family's 1533-position model. Lineage: Bacteria; Pseudomonadati; Pseudomonadota; Gammaproteobacteria; Alteromonadales; Shewanellaceae. The record is from RNAcentral.
ACAAGGGAGUUUACUCAUGAGGUGGCGAGCGGCGGACGGGUGAGUAAUGCCUAGGGAUCUGCCCAGUCGAGGGGGAUAACAGUUGGAAACGACUGCUAAUACCGCAUACGCCCUACGGGGGAAAGAGGGGGACCUUCGGGCCUCUCGCGAUUGGAUGAACCUAGGUGGGAUUAGCUAGUUGGUGAGGUAAUGGCUCACCAAGGCGACGAUCCCUAGCUGUUCUGAGAGGAUGAUCAGCCACACUGGGACUGAGACACGGCCCAGACUCCUACGGGAGGCAGCAGUGGGGAAUAUUGCACAAUGGGGGAAACCCUGAUGCAGCCAUGCCGCGUGUGUGAAGAAGGCCUUCGGGUUGUAAAGCACUUUCAGUAGGGAGGAAAGGGUGAGUCUUAAUACGGCUCAUCUGUGACGUUACCUACAGAAGAAGGACCGGCUAACUCCGUGCCAGCAGCCGCGGUAAUACGGAGGGUCCGAGCGUUAAUCGGAAUUACUGGGCGUAAAGCGUGCGCAGGCGGUUUGUUAAGCGAGAUGUGAAAGCCCUGGGCUCAACCUAGGAAUAGCAUUUCGAACUGGCGAACUAGAGUCUUGUAGAGGGGGGUAGA